CGAAGGAUUACUAUAAAUAUGAUACGUUAAUGUCUCGAGAUUUAUAGAGAAAAUAUGGCUUCCGAAAACAAAGUUGGUGUAAUGUAUCUUCUCAUUUUGUGCAGUGCAAUUCUACUGAGCGUCAAUCCAACAAUUGCGAGCGCAAGAACAAUAUGCCCACCAUGCUUACCAAUUAGUGCAGGUGCAUAUAUGAUCUGCCCAUCUUCGAGCAGUAAGCAACUUAAUCCACUCUGCAAUUGCUGCUAUGCUCCGAAAGGCUGCACCAUUUACUAUGCUUCUGGAACACCAAUCUGCACUGCCACUUAAAUGGAUCGAUGGGAUGCGAUCUUGAACAUGUUUGCUAGUACUCACAUUUGGUUUGCAAAAUAAAGUUGUCUGUAUGUUGUUAUAUAGAGACAAUGAAUUGUGUCGUAUUAUCGGCUUAUUUGUAUUUGUAUUGCCUAUAUUGCAUUUGUACCUCUACUGUCUACAGUAUCAUGUCGUUUCAUAUAUAGACCCUUUAGCGGUUUGGUAUCUUGUACAAUAAAGAUUUUUAGCCUUUUGUACUAUCAUUGUGCGUGCGAAUUGAGAUCACUUUAAUUCAAUGGGUACGGUGUUCUUUUAUUUA
Alnus glutinosa is the source of this 607-nucleotide long non-coding RNA. RefSeq lists it as uncharacterized. Lineage: Eukaryota; Viridiplantae; Streptophyta; Magnoliopsida; Fagales; Betulaceae. The record is from RefSeq and is a predicted model, not a curated record. The transcript has 2 exons.